UAUAAACAUAUUCCAAUACGUUUUGAUAUUAUAGCUACUUAAAAUCAAGGAGUGUUUUUGCGCCCACCCUGUAUAUUUUUCAAUCAUUUACUGGACUGUCAUG
Molecule: long non-coding RNA, 103 nt
Organism: Thalassophryne amazonica
Lineage: Eukaryota; Metazoa; Chordata; Actinopteri; Batrachoidiformes; Batrachoididae
Exons: 3
Source: RefSeq, a predicted model, not a curated record